RNAcentral lists this ribosomal RNA (393 nucleotides) under uncultured bacterium. Its description in RNAcentral is "bacterial SSU rRNA". It matches the Rfam family "Bacterial small subunit ribosomal RNA", at positions 30 to 426 of the family's 1533-position model. The record is from RNAcentral.
AUUGAACGCUGGCGGCAUGCCUUACACAUGCAAGUCGAACGGCAGCGGGCCUUCGGGUGCCGGCGAGUGGCGAACGGGUGAGUAAUGCAUCGGAACGUGCCAUUGAGUGGGGGGAUAACGUAGCGAAAGUUACGCUAAUACCGCAUAUUCUGUGAGCAGGAAAGCAGGGGACCGCAAGGCCUUGCGCUCUUUGAGCGGCCGAUGUCAGAUUAGCUAGUUGGUGAGGUAAAGGCUUACCAAGGCGACGAUCUGUAGCGGGUCUGAGAGGAUGAUCCGCCACACUGGUACUGAGACACGGUCCAGACUCCUACGGGAGGCAGCAGUGGGGAAUUUUGGACAAUGGGCGCAAGCCUGAUCCAGCCAUGCCGCGUGAGUGAAGAAGGCCUCGGUUGU